This 161-nucleotide non-coding RNA is filed under the name uncultured Prevotella sp. Lineage: Bacteria; Pseudomonadati; Bacteroidota; Bacteroidia; Bacteroidales; Prevotellaceae. The record is from RNAcentral.
UGAAGGUUCGCUUAGUCGCGAUUAAAAGGGAAUGUGAGUGAGAAUCUCCGACUGUCCCGCAGCAGUGAACUCCAUUUAGGCUUCCAGACAUGAGCCAUUGCCCAUUUGGGUGAGAAGGCGUCUGGGAGUGGAGGAAAGUCUGAAGACCUGCCUUUUUCGGU